RNAcentral lists this transfer RNA (111 nucleotides) under Tianweitania sediminis. Its description in RNAcentral is "tRNA-Lys". Lineage: Bacteria; Pseudomonadati; Pseudomonadota; Alphaproteobacteria; Hyphomicrobiales; Phyllobacteriaceae. The record is from RNAcentral.
GGGUUCUGGCCAAAUCUGUUGACGGGCAAUUGUGUUUACAGGAACCUGAAAACGGCUGGCAGCUGACUCUUAAUCAGCGGGUCACAGGUUCGAUCCCUGUCGCACCCACCA